Camelus ferus (Wild Bactrian camel) is the source of this 73-nucleotide non-coding RNA. Lineage: Eukaryota; Metazoa; Chordata; Mammalia; Artiodactyla; Camelidae. The record is from Rfam.
GGAGGGUACAGCUCAGUGGCAGAGCAAGUGCUUUGCACGCACAAGGUCCUGGGUUCAAUCCCCAGUCCCUCCA